Molecule: ribosomal RNA, 253 nt
Filed under: uncultured bacterium
Lineage: Bacteria
Description: partial 16S ribosomal RNA
Rfam family: Bacterial small subunit ribosomal RNA
Source: RNAcentral
UACAGAGGGUGCGAGCGUUAAUCGGAAUUACUGGGCGUAAAGCGUGCGUAGACGGUUAUUUAAGUCGGGUGUGAAAGCCCCGGGCUCAACCUGGGAAUUCCAUUCGAGACUGAAUAGCUAGGGUACGGUAGAGGGAAGUGGAAUUUCCGGUGUAGCGGUGAAAUGCGUAGAUAUCGGAAGGAACAUCAGUGGCGAAAUCGACUUCCUGGACCAGUACCGACGUUCAGGCACGAAAGCGUGGGGAGCAAACAGG